CACGUACUCCCUCCGUCCCAAAAUUCCUGUCUUAGAUUAGUCUAGAUACGGCUAAUACGAAAACGUGACUUGAUACAUUCGUAUCUAGACAAAUUUAAAACGAGAAUUUUGGGACGGAGGGAGUAUUAG
Non-coding RNA from Triticum aestivum (bread wheat), 129 nucleotides. The record is from Rfam. Lineage: Eukaryota; Viridiplantae; Streptophyta; Magnoliopsida; Poales; Poaceae.